AUGCAAAUGCAGUUCCCGGAGGGGUCGCUGCAGCAAUGGCCGCCACGGUUGGAGCCCGAGCUAGCUCCGAUGAUGUCGGCCGGGCUGGGCCUCGGGUUACCAUACGACUCUACCGGCGGUCUGAUGGGGUUGCCGGAGCUCAUGAUGGGCCAGUCAUCACUGUUCAGCGCCAAGCCGGCCACGCUGGACUUCUUGGGGCUCGGGAUGAGCCCCACCGGCGCAACGAUGAGCAGGGGCCUUCCCGUGUUCAUGCAGCCCAUGGGCAGCGCGGUCGGCAUGGCCCGGACCGGCAGCGGCGCGGCGGAGACGUUCGGCUCCGGCCCGAGCGCUUAG
Molecule: ribosomal RNA, 333 nt
Filed under: Triticum aestivum (bread wheat)
Lineage: Eukaryota; Viridiplantae; Streptophyta; Magnoliopsida; Poales; Poaceae
Description: partial small subunit ribosomal RNA
Source: RNAcentral